GACGAACGCUGGCGGCGUGCUUAACACAUGCAAGUCGAACGGAAAGGCCCUGCUUUUGUGGGGUGCUCGAGUGGCGAACGGGUGAGUAACACGUGAGUAACCUGCCCUUGACUUUGGGAUAACUUCAGGAAACUGGGGCUAAUACCGGAUAGGAGCUCCUGCUGCAUGGUGGGGGUUGGAAAGUUUCGGCGGUUGGGGAUGACCUCGCGGCUUCUCAGCUUGUUGGGGGGGUAGUGGCUUACCAAGGCUUUGACGGGUAGCGGGCCUGAGCGGGUGACCAGCGACAUAGGGACUGAGGGACGGCAGAAACCCCGACGGGAGGCAGCAGGGGGGAAGAUUGAACAAGGGGCGGAAGCCUGAUGCAGAAACGCCGCGUGCGGGAAGACGCCCUUCGGGUUGUAGACCGCUUUCGCCUGUGACGAAGCGUGAGUGACGGUAAUGGGUAAAGAAGCACCGGCUAACUACGUG
Molecule: ribosomal RNA, 468 nt
Filed under: uncultured bacterium
Lineage: Bacteria
Description: partial 16S ribosomal RNA
Rfam family: Bacterial small subunit ribosomal RNA
Source: RNAcentral